This 254-nucleotide ribosomal RNA is filed under the name uncultured bacterium. RNAcentral describes it as "partial 16S ribosomal RNA". It matches the Rfam family "Bacterial small subunit ribosomal RNA", at positions 524 to 776 of the family's 1533-position model. The record is from RNAcentral.
UACGGAGGGUGCAAACGUUGCUCGGAAUCAUUGGGCGUAAAGAGCUCGUAGGCGGUGUGUCACGUCGGCCGUGAAAACUUGCAGCUUAACUGUGGGCGUGCGGUCGAUACGGGCAUCACUGGAGUUCGGCAGGGGAGACUGGAAUUCCUGGUGUAGCGGUGAAAUGCGCAGAUAUCAGGAGGAACACCGGUGGCGAAGGCGGGUCUCUGGGCCGAUACUGACGCUGAGGAGCGAAAGCGUGGGGAGCAAACAGG